Molecule: unclassified non-coding RNA, 253 nt
Filed under: uncultured Halomonadaceae bacterium
Lineage: Bacteria; Pseudomonadati; Pseudomonadota; Gammaproteobacteria; Oceanospirillales; Halomonadaceae
Description: contains 16S-23S intergenic spacer region
Rfam family: Bacterial small subunit ribosomal RNA
Source: RNAcentral
UACGGAGGGUGCGAGAGCUAAUCGGAAUUACAGGGCGUAAAGCGCGAGUGGGCGGCUUGAUAAGCCGGGUGUGAAAGCCCCGGGCUCAACCUGGGAACGGCAUCCGGAACUGUCAGGCUAGAGUGCAGGAGAGGAAGGUAGAAUUCCCGGUGUAGCGGUGAAAUGCGUAGAGAUCGGGAGGAAUACCAGUGGCGAAGGCGGCCUUCUGGACUGACACUGACGCUGAGGUGCGAAAGCGUGGGUAGCAAACAGG